UACAGAGGUCCCAAGCGUUGUUCGGAUUCACUGGGCGUAAAGGGUGCGUAGGUGGUGAGGUAAGUCCGAUGUGAAAGCUCAGAGCUUAACUGUGAAACUGCAUUGGAUACUAUCCGGCUCGAGGAAUGGAGGGGAGACUGGAAUACUUGGUGUAGCAGUGAAAUGCGUAGAUAUCAAGUGGAACACCAGUGGCGAAGGCGAGUCUCUGGACAUUUCCUGACGCUGAGGCACGAAAGCCAGGGGAGCAAACGGG
Molecule: ribosomal RNA, 253 nt
Filed under: uncultured bacterium
Lineage: Bacteria
Description: partial 16S ribosomal RNA
Rfam family: Bacterial small subunit ribosomal RNA
Source: RNAcentral